RNAcentral lists this ribosomal RNA (898 nucleotides) under uncultured Bacteroidota bacterium. RNAcentral's name for it is "bacterial SSU rRNA". It matches the Rfam family "Bacterial small subunit ribosomal RNA", at positions 28 to 916 of the family's 1533-position model. The record is from RNAcentral. Lineage: Bacteria; Pseudomonadati; Bacteroidota.
GAUGAACGCUAGCUACAGGCUUAACACAUGCAAGUCGAGGGGAAACGACAUCGAAAGCUUGCUUUUGAUGGGCGUCGACCGGCGCACGGGUGAGUAACGCGUAUCCAACCUGCCCAUCACUUGGGGAUAACCUUGCGAAAGUAAGACUAAUACCCAAUAACGUCUCUAGAAGACAUCUGAAAGAGAUUAAAGAUUUAUCGGUGAUGGAUGGGGAUGCGUCUGAUUAGCUUGUUGGCGGGGUAACGGCCCACCAAGGCAACGAUCAGUAGGGGUUCUGAGAGGAAGGUCCCCCACAUUGGAACUGAGACACGGUCCAAACUCCUACGGGAGGCAGCAGUGAGGAAUAUUGGUCAAUGGGCGAGAGCCUGAACCAGCCAAGUAGCGUGCAGGAUGACGGCCCUAUGGGUUGUAAACUGCUUUUAUAAGGGAAUAAAGUGAGUCUCGUGAGACUUUUUGCAUGUACCUUAUGAAUAAGGACCGGCUAAUUCCGUGCCAGCAGCCGCGGUAAUACGGAAGGUCCGGGCGUUAUCCGGAUUUAUUGGGUUUAAAGGGAGCGUAGGCCGGAGAUUAAGCGUGUUGUGAAAUGUAGACGCUCAACGUCUGCACUGCAGCGCGAACUGGUUUCCUUGAGUACGCACAAAGUGGGCGGAAUUCGUGGUGUAGCGGUGAAAUGCUUAGAUAUCACGAAGAACUCCGAUUGCGAAGGCAGCUCACUGGAGCGCAACUGACGCUGAAGCUCGAAAGUGCGGGUAUCGAACAGGAUUAGAUACCCUGGUAGUCCGCACGGUAAACGAUGGAUGCCCGCUGUUGGUCUGAAUAGGUCAGCGGCCAAGCGAAAGCAUUAAGCAUCCCACCUGGGGAGUACGCCGGCAACGGUGCAACUCAAAUGAAUUGACGG